Molecule: transfer RNA, 72 nt
Filed under: Perkinsus olseni
Lineage: Eukaryota; Perkinsozoa; Perkinsida; Perkinsidae
Description: tRNA-Cys
Rfam family: tRNA
About the family: Transfer RNA (tRNA) molecules are approximately 80 nucleotides in length. Their secondary structure includes four short double-helical elements and three loops (D, anti-codon, and T loops).
Source: RNAcentral
GGGUGUGUAGCUCAGUGGUAGAGCGGCUGACUGCAGAUCAGCGGGUCCUCGGGUCAAAUUCGGGCGUGCCCU